This 1016-nucleotide unclassified non-coding RNA is filed under the name Hevea brasiliensis (rubber tree). Lineage: Eukaryota; Viridiplantae; Streptophyta; Magnoliopsida; Malpighiales; Euphorbiaceae. The record is from RNAcentral.
GAGUUCUUGUAAGGCAUUUGCAGUUAUGGGGUUGAUUUUCUCAGCUGCCGAGUGUAUUGUUGAAAAGGUAUCUUGGAGAAUAAGUAAAUUAUAAAAGAAAAUGAAAGAAAGAAGGAGAAAUUUAUGAUUGUAUGUUGCUUUAGAUAAUGAAUAUUUGCUAUAGGAACUUAAACUUUUUUUUUAAGGCACGGGCAAAACAUGAUGCUACAAAUACAGUUGUUGCGGGGUGUGUAACUGGUGGUUCAAUGUCUGCAAGAGGUAACUUUUCUUUGUUCCUUUUCUAUUUUCUACGUAUGAUGAUAUCCAGUUUGAGAAUAGUUAGUCAGAUAUUGGGUUCUCUUAUAGGAUCCAGCAAUUUAUUUCUAUCAACUCAACUCAUGCUUAAUGAUACAGUCCUAGCUUUUCCAAUAAAAGAAAAAGAGGUUUUCUGUGUGUGUAACUGUGUGUGUUUGGGAUGGGGUUGUAAAAGGAGGUUAAGUGGGGAGAGGUGGAACCAACCUAUCUAUCCAUUUGUCCACUUGUUUUACAAAGAUUUGUUUUUGAGUCCAUUUGUUUUUCUGUAGCAUGCAUUUUUUGGCAAUAGACUAGUAGUCAUAUACUUGAUUUUUGUUAGUCACAUUGAAGAUACAUUUCCAAUUAUUAUGUUCUUAUCUUGAAUAACUAAGACUCGAUUCUACCUUCUUCUUUUUUUUUCCUAAUUAGCAAAAACUCUUUAACUUUGUUAUACUAUGGUUUUUCCAGUGUUUGUAUAUUUGUUCUUUGUCUAGUCAAGUUCACACCAAUUGGUGAGUGGAGGAAAGCAAAUAGAAUAUUAUACUUUGGCAGGCUCCUAAUAUUUUGCCCUUUUUUAUUUUUUUUACCUGCUGAAGAGUGGAAAAGGACUGACUUCUUUCACAGCCAUUGAGCUUUAUUCUUCUUCUUUCUUAUAAUCAUUGUUUAACCUUAUUUUGUAUUUUUGUGUCACAUUCAUUAGUUGAUGGAACUAAUGGCUGAUUGCUUUACAUUAUAUAAAUAUG